AAAAGAACCUGAAACCGUGUACGUACAAGCAGUGGGAGCACAGAGCAAUCUGUGUGACUGCGUACCUUUUGUAUAAUGGGUCAGCGACUUAUAUUCUGUAGCAAGGUUAACCGAAUAGGGGAGCCGAAGGGAAACCGAGUCUUAACUGGGCGUUAAGUUGCAGGGUAUAGACCCGAAACCCGGUGAUCUAGCCAUGGGCAGGUUGAAGGUUGGGUAACACUAACUGGAGGACCGAACCGACUAAUGUUGAAAAAUUAGCGGAUGACUUGUGGCUGGGGGUGAAAGGCCAAUCAAACCGGGAGAUAGCUGGUUCUCCCCGAAAGCUAUUUAGGUAGCGCCUCGUGAAUUCAUCUCCGGGGGUAGAGCACUGUUUCGGCAAGGGGGUCAUCCCGACUUACCAACCCGAUGCAAACUGCGAAUACCGGAGAAUGUUAUCACGGGAGACACACGGCGGGUGCUAACGUCCGUCGUGAAGAGGGAAACAACCCAGACCGCCAGCUAAGGUCCCAAAGUCAUGGUUAAGUGGGAAACGAUGUGGGAAGGCCCAGACAGCCAGGAUGUUGGCUUAGAAGCAGCCAUCAUUUAAAGAAAGCGUAAUAGCUCACUGGUCGAGUCGGCCUGCGCGGAAGAUGUAACGGGGCUAAACCAUGCACCGAAGCUGCGGCAGCGACACUGUGUGUUGUUGGGUAGGGGAGCGUUCUGUAAGCCUGUGAAGGUGUGCUGUGAGGCAUGCUGGAGGUAUCAGAAGUGCGAAUGCUGACAUAAGUAACGAUAAAGCGGGUGAAAAGCCCGCUCGCCGGAAGACCAAGGGUUCCUGUCCAACGUUAAUCGGGGCAGGGUGAGUCGACCCCUAAGGCGAGGCCGAAAGGCGUAGUCGAUGGGAAACAGGUUAAUAUUCCUGUACUUGGUGUUACUGCGAAGGGGGGACGGAGAAGGCUAUGUUGGCCGGGCGACGGUUGUCCCGGUUUAAGCGUGUAGGCUGGUUUUCCAGGCAAAUCCGGAAAAUCAAGGCUGAGGCGUGAUGACGAGGCACUACGGUGCUGAAGCAACAAAUGCCCUGCUUCCAGGAAAAGCCUCUAAGCAUCAGGUAACAUCAAAUCGUACCCCAAACCGACACAGGUGGUCAGGUAGAGAAUACCAAGGCGCUUGAGAGAACUCGGGUGAAGGAACUAGGCAAAAUGGUGCCGUAACUUCGGGAGAAGGCACGCUGAUAUGUAGGUGAAGUCCCUCGCGGAUGGAGCUGAAAUCAGUCGAAGAUACCAGCUGGCUGCAACUGUUUAUUAAAAACACAGCACUGUGCAAACACGAAAGUGGACGUAUACGGUGUGACGCCUGCCCGGUGCCGGAAGGUUAAUUGAUGGGGUCAGCGCAAGCGAAGCUCUUGAUCGAAGCCCCGGUAAACGGCGGCCGUAACUAUAACGGUCCUAAGGUAGCGAAAUUCCUUGUCGGGUAAGUUCCGACCUGCACGAAUGGCGUAAUGAUGGCCAGGCUGUCUCCACCCGAGACUCAGUGAAAUUGAACUCGCUGUGAAGAUGCAGUGUACCCGCGGCAAGACGGAAAGACCCCGUGAACCUUUACUAUAGCUUGACACUGAACAUUGAGCCUUGAUGUGUAGGAUAGGUGGGAGGCUUUGAAGUGUGGACGCCAGUCUGCAUGGAGCCGACCUUGAAAUACCACCCUUUAAUGUUUGAUGUUCUAACGUGGACCCGUGAUCCGGGUUGCGGACAGUGUCUGGUGGGUAGUUUGACUGGGGCGGUCUCCUCCUAAAGAGUAACGGAGGAGCACGAAGGUUGGCUAAUCCUGGUCGGACAUCAGGAGGUUAGUGCAAUGGCAUAAGCCAGCUUGACUGCGAGCGUGACGGCGCGAGCAGGUGCGAAAGCAGGUCAUAGUGAUCCGGUGGUUCUGAAUGGAAGGGCCAUCGCUCAACGGAUAAAAGGUACUCCGGGGAUAACAGGCUGAUACCGCCCAAGAGUUCAUAUCGACGGCGGUGUUUGGCACCUCGAUGUCGGCUCAUCACAUCCUGGGGCUGAAGUAGGUCCCAAGGGUAUGGCUGUUCGCCAUUUAAAGUGGUACGCGAGCUGGGUUUAGAACGUCGUGAGACAGUUCGGUCCCUAUCUGCCGUGGGCGCUGGAGAACUGAGGGGGGCUGCUCCUAGUACGAGAGGACCGGAGUGGACGCAUCACUGGUGUUCGGGUUGUCAUGCCAAUGGCACUGCCCGGUAGCUAAAUGCGGAAGAGAUAAGUGCUGAAAGCAUCUAAGCACGAAACUUGCCCCGAGAUGAGUUCUCCCUGACCCUUUAAGGGUCCUGAAGGAACGUUGAAGACGACGACGUUGAUAGGCCGGGUGUGUAAGCGCAGCGAUGCGUUGAGCUAACCGGUACUAAUGAACCGUGAGGCUUAACCUUACAACGCCGAAGGUGUUU
RNAcentral lists this ribosomal RNA (2422 nucleotides) under Escherichia coli. RNAcentral describes it as "partial 23S ribosomal RNA". It matches the Rfam family "Bacterial large subunit ribosomal RNA", at positions 542 to 2925 of the family's 2925-position model. Lineage: Bacteria; Pseudomonadati; Pseudomonadota; Gammaproteobacteria; Enterobacterales; Enterobacteriaceae. The record is from RNAcentral.